This 334-nucleotide ribosomal RNA is filed under the name uncultured eukaryote. RNAcentral's name for it is "partial 18S ribosomal RNA". It matches the Rfam family "Eukaryotic small subunit ribosomal RNA", at positions 1470 to 1796 of the family's 1831-position model. The record is from RNAcentral.
CCCUUAGAUGUCCGGGGCCGCACGCGCGCUAAACUGAAGGAAUCAGCGUGGCUUUCUCCCUGACCCGAAAGGGUUGGGAAACCCGUUGAAUCUCCUUCGUGAUAGGGAUUGGGGCUUGAAAUUGUUCCCCAUGAACGAGGCAUUCCCAGUAAGCGCGAGUCAUAAGCUCGCGUUGAUUACGUCCCUGCCCUUUGUACACACCGCCCGUCGCUACUACCGAUUGAACGGUUUAGUGAGGGCCUCGGAUUGGUCUCGGCCCGCUCUUUACCGGGCGGCGCCGUUGGUCGAGAAGACGCUCGAACUUGAUCGUUUAGAGGAAGUAAAAGUCGUAACA